Molecule: long non-coding RNA, 9721 nt
Filed under: Homo sapiens (human)
Lineage: Eukaryota; Metazoa; Chordata; Mammalia; Primates; Hominidae
Description: non-protein coding lnc-CHPF-4:4
Source: RNAcentral
CUGGAACUUAAGACUGGGACCCGAGCUGUUGGGGAAUCGGCCUCGGGGCAGCAGCCGAAGUGAGGAACUGGGUCCCACAGGAAAACGGGACUAAGGACAGCAGGGGUGUGUGGCCAGCCCUGGAAGGGGCGGGGCCAGGGGCAAACAGCCACAAGGGGCUGGGGCUGGAGGCGCUCAAAAGCGGAGAAGGCGGAGUCCCAGGCCCAGCCGGCGGUACCGCUGGGAAGUGAGGGCGCCUUGGACGGCGAGGGCAACUCUUAUCAGUUUGACUGUCUGAAAUGCAGCACGGCGCUAGGCGCUCUCCAGACCUCCCUGUGACUCCAACAGGCUGUGACCUUGGCGUGGGGGUCUGGAAUACGUGUGGGCGCUGGUGCGGGGGAGAGGGAAUGGCGACGCGGAAGAGCAGGACAGACGCGGAGGGUCAGAGAGCAGCUUUAUUAAGCAAGCUGGUGGAGGGCUGUGGGUCCCACCACCCCCGGGCUCGGCGCCAGGGCGGAAGGUCCGGGGGUGCCGUUCAGGCCACGUCGACGCGAGCGAAGCUCUGGUCCAUGCCCAGGCUGUUCUCCACGUACACCUCGUACUUGCCGCUGUCCUGAGGCGUGGCCCGGCGAAUGGUCAGCGUCGUGGUGGUGCUGCCGAUCUCGAAGAACACCCUGCGGAAGGGCGGCGGGGAGGAGGGCGGAGCCGUGGUCAGUACACGGGCGCACUGGGCGGGGCUCCUUAGCCAGCUCUGUUCCUCGCUGCCCAGUCCCCGCCCCCGUCACUCCAGCCAGAUUUCUGGGCUCAGUCCCACCCAGGUUCCAGCCCCAGGCCCUGGCCGUGCCGCAGGUCCCGGCCCUCGCCUGUCAUCCUCCUCGAUGUCCUCCCCGUCCUUGGUCCAGCCUACGUCGGGCGCAGGCUCUCCCAGGAUCUCCGCAGUCAGCGUCACGGUGGUGCCUUUGCGCGCCUUAGUGUUGUCGGGUCCCUUUUGAAUCUUCGUCGGGACUAGCGGAAGGAAAGGGGAGCGAAACCCCGUGAAGGACCCGGAGAUGAGGCAGGGCAUCACCUCACCGGCUAAUACCCGGCACUAAAUACAGAUGCAUUUAAACUCGCAGUGUGACGUUGAGCAAAUCAUUAGCCUCUCUGGUUUCAUCUCCUUGGCUGUUAAAGGGACUUAUCCCUGCCUCUCCUACUUCUCGGGGUCGAAUAGAGGAUCAAGAGAGAUAAGGCGGGCGAAAGCCCCUGAAUGUUCACACAUCUCGCGGUGCCUCAGAGACCGCUCCGGGUAGUGGAAAUUGCCAGAGUUGGGAGCCAGAAGACCCGGGUCCAACCCUGGCUCUGCCUCUGGCUUGCUGUGUGACCUUGGGGACCCGGAGCCGCGUGAUGGAAGUCCACAGCUGACUGCUCAGCCCGGGUGGAGCUGGAUCCCGAGGUAGGGAAGGACGCACUUGGCUGGCGCGGCGAUGCGCCCCAGGCCGUGCCCAGAGCUGGGCUGGCGGGGACCCUGUAGCUAGGCCCAGAGGUAAACACGCGCAGCUGGACCGGGCUGCGGGCUCUGGCUGAGUGGUGCUGGUCUGCGCCCUGGCGCUGCGCCCGGGGCGCGCGUACCUUCCACGAGGAUGCGCGCCGAGUCGGAGCACUGGCCGAAGGGGUUGGUGACGUUGAUGCUGUACUGGCCCAGGUCUGCCAGCUCGCCGUCGCGCACCACCAGUGCCACCACGUCAGGGUCCUCGAAGACGUAGCGGUACUUGGGACCGUCACGUAGCUCCUUGCCGUCCUUACUCCAGCGGAUGAAUGGGUCCGGGAAAGCCGAAAUGCGGCAAGUGAGCUUGGCCGCGCUGCCUUCGAUCAGCACCACGUCCUUCAGCGGCUCCAGCACCCGCGGCGGCCCCUUCUCGCGCAGCUCCUUCCGGGACCUACCCGCGGGCCGAGUCAGGGCCCAGAGUUCCUAAGACAGGCCCGGCCACAGCCCUUACCGCGAGCGCACCAUCUCCUACCUGCCCCCUGGACCGGCCAGACCCCUAAACGUGUGGCUUGGUAGGGAAGAGGACUGCUCCUGAACUGCUGCCCUGAUAGGAUGAUGCAUUCCUCCCGGCCACUCCCCCAUACCUCAGUAACGACCCUCCCCUGAGACCACUCAUUCUAAAGGCUCCUGACGCUGCUCAGCGCUUACUCAAACCCUACUCAAGAGUGCGCUCUCUGCAGCUCCCUUCCUCCACAGGGCUCCGGGGUUCCCUCUCACCUGUGGCCCCGGUAAGAGGCCUGGAUACGAAUGGCCGCACUCUGGACCUGUGGGUCAUUGAUGUCCAGGGUACAUCCAGGAGCUGGGGCCACAGCCACUGGCUUUUUGGCAGGAGCUGCUUUAGACAUCUGGGGAGUGGGCGACAAAUAUGGGGGUCCAGGUUGAGACAGAGGCUCCCACCUUCAGCCCUUUUCCUCCCUGGUCAGAACAUUCAGGGAGAUGGAGGAAUGGGGGUGUCUGCGGCUUCUCUGAGGAUCAGACUCACCGUGGAGGGGUUGACCUAGGGACUUGAGUCGACUGGCUGGAUUGCAGGCAGCACAGAGCCCUUCUGGAUGGCACAGUAGGGGUGCAGGCAGGUGCUCAGCCCUGGGCCCGGUUUUAUACAUCGCUCCCCUCCUUGCCUUGUUUGGCGUGGUUGCCCCAAGCCCCCCGGGGCCCCAUCCGCCUCCCUCUGACUCAGGCAGGCUCUUUAUUUAGCCUGUGGAUGCCUGGGAUGCUGGCUCAGCCGCUGGGCUAGGCCCGUGGGGAGAAACCCGAGCAGCUCUGAGGUGCACCUUGCGUCAGCACCUGGACAGCUGGACAGCUGGAUGCUGCCCUGUCCCCUCCCAGGGCAGGGGGUAUCCAUCCCACUCCCAGGAGGACCAGAUUCAGCCCCUAGCUGACAAGAGAUCCAGCUUCCUGCUGGGGCAGCUUUUCAAUCAGGUUGGGCUCUGGAUAGUCAGACAACACACCCUGUUGGUUAAGGGGUUUGAGUGUUUCUGGGGUUUCCCUGAAUACAGCCAGAGUAGCAUCGGACUUGGUCCUCAGGGCCCCUACAGCUAACGGCAACAGGGCCACGUGGCUGUCAAGACCAAUCCAGAAGCUCCUUACUCUUCCCCUACCCCCAACCCCAGGAGUCCAGGGUUGUCACUUCCACACUGUGCCCCCUGGCGGUAAACUGAGAUAAACCGGGAGGGGACGGGAAAGAUUUUUGAGAAUAGCAGCCCCUCCAUGCCUUCCCCAUCCCCACUCACUCCCCUCGAUGUCACAUGGUGGGGGCUGUUUAGACUGCACUGUCCUUGGAGAUUAGCACCACUACUGGCCCCAACCCUAGGUCUGCCCAAUUCCUUUUUGGGGGCAUAAAUUGGUGCAUAGGGGCAUCAGACCACCUGGGGUGAAGGGGUUCAGUUAACCCCUCUGGGGAUUGCCUGGAGGCCAGUCUGCCCAGGCCGGGCACCGGGCAGAAGCAUUGCUUCCAUUCAUUGGAACUACCCGCCCUAGUGUGGGGGCACUGUCACGUUUUGAUCAGAGCAAUUUUGACAUAGCUCUGCUGACAUAAAUUACCUUUGCUCCUCCGGGUUUGGAACAAGCAGUUCACAUGCCAUUUCCAAUGGAGAUGGGAAGGGAGCUCAAGAUCAGAGCGGGGACGGGAGAGGAAUUUUACCAUUUAUCAAGAUAUGAGUUCAGGCACCUCAUUUUUAUACAAAACACUUGCAGUGUGUAGGGGAUUGGAGAUUCUUACAGGCAAACUGUAUAUCUUCAUCGCUAAAAUGACAGGUAGGCAAGGUGUCGUUCUGGUCCCUUCCAGCUGGCUUUAACAUCCUGUUAUUUUAUGAUGAUGGGGCUUGCCUCUUCCCUGGGGUCCUGAGAAGCUAGAGAGGCUGGGCUGGGCUGGGCAAAAGGGUUGUCUGGGCUGGAGCCAAGGGGCCCUCAACCUCCAUCAGCAACACAGCAGUGACAACUCUGUCUACCCUGGUCAGAGGCUUUGUUCCUUUUACUUUGCCAAGAACAGAAUUUUGAAGGUGGGGAUGAGGGAAACAUUUCCUCUGGAGACAAGGAGGUCUGGGUCCCUGCCAACCCCCCAAUCCCUCGUCCCCAACCUCAGGGCAGAGCAGCUCAGUCCUAGGUCCCAGUGACCAUUCUAUGGCACGGGUGUGGCUAGAAUUGAGGUGCUUUAGCACCCAGCAGACCUCCUAACUUGCCAUGUGGACAAGAAGGUCCAGGCUGGUGUGUCCCUCAGCCCUAGGAAAAUGCUGGACACAGCAGACUAGAGCACUCCCAGCUGGUGCUCUCCAUGUGCUCUGAUAUGUGCUGUGACAUGGAGGGCAAGGGGUGUGAGCCUGUCCUAGUGUUUCUUUUUGAGAUGGAGUCUCACUCUGUCAUCCAGGCUGGAGCGCAGUGGUGCAAUCUUGGCUCAUUGCAACCUUCACCUCCCAGGUUUAAGCGAUUCUCCUGCCUCAGCCUCCUGAGUAGCUGAGAUCACAGGUGUGCACCACCACGCCUGGCUAAUUUUUGUAUUUUUAGUAGAGACGGGGUUUCAUCAUGUUGGCUAGGCUGGUCUUGAACUCCUGACCUCAGGUGAUCCAGCCACCUUAGCCUCCCUGUCCUGGUUUCUUCUGCAGCUCCUCACACUACCUACUCUCACCAACCAUCAGGAUGAAACCCACUCUGCUCCAGGGGUCAGGACCAGAGCUCCUGCCUGUCUUCUGGGGAGAGUGAACAAGGCUGAGCCAGGAUUGGGGUGAGGGCUGGCCUAUUUCAGAGCCCAGCAUCCCCCACAUUGUGAUGAGGGAACACGUGACAAGAGGUGGGGGCUACUAGAGCCUGGUUGCAGGGGUUCAGUGGAUCUGCCAACAUUCCGGAAACUGCAAGGGGAGAAGCAGACCACAGUCUCCCCUCCCUCCAGGAAUAAGGAGAGGUGAGGGGCCAGGAGGGUCACGGGAGGGGGUUGGAAGGACCCAAAGUGCUAGCUGGUAUAUUCCUGAAUGUGUGUGUUGGGGAAUACCCAGAGAGGGCUAAAUGCCCCUGUCCCGGACUCACCCCUCACCAGCCAUCUUCCCCUCCAGCCAUCCCUCCCAAUAGACACACAGGUUAUGCUGCUUGCCAUUUUUAUUUCCUUGUGGCAGACAGACAGACAGCUGGAUGGCUGGGAGGGAUGGUCAGGACAACAUGGGCAGUAGGGAUCGGAUGGAAGGGGAAACUUCAUAAAAGUCAAUAAAUAAAUAAAUAUGAAUGGGAAGAAGGCCAGAGGCCAUGGAGGGGCAGUGGGGACAUCCUUGGGCCAGCAGAGCGCCCAGGGCUGUAUCCACUGGACAGGAGGACAGAGCGAGUGUGAGUGACUGCUGGCCUCCAGCUCUCCACAUUUCUCCUCUGAGGGAUGCUGACAGCUGACCCACCCCACCUCCACCUGAGUCCUCUCUUCUCCCUCUGCCGCCUCGCUGCCUUCUCUCAUGUCCCAGCCCUGGGCCCCUGCCACUGUAUCUGUGUCCUGCCCCCGCUUUGCCACACUGACUCCCAGCCUACUGCCCUGACACCUGGGGCUCCUUCCUUUUCCUCCUCUCCAGCCAUGCCCACCUUCCUUGGUUCUCCCUGAGAUGCACUGACCCCCAACCCAGAACCUUCCUAGAGCCUCCCCCUUCCUGUCCCUCGAUUCCUUUUCCUCUCCACUUCUCCAUUCCCCUCUUGUCCCUCUGCCUGUUCCCACCCUGCUGAGCCUGACCAAUGGGUCUCCCACUCUGGCUUUGGCCUGGGGUGGCAUCAGGUCCAGGCCCUGGGGUCUCUGUCCUUGAAGGUCUAUGAGGUAAGAGCCCAGCCAGAUGUUGCUGCUGGUGGUAACCGAAGCCCCAGGCCCGCCUGGCUCAGCGUGGGCCCUGGAAUGUCCCGUGGCAUUGGUGGGAACCCCAGUUGAAGCCCGAGGCCUGGCUGUGGUCCGUGCCUCUAGGGGCCGCCAGGGUAGGAGCGCAGCAGCACCUUGUGGCGGGUGGCAGCCUCAGCCCGGCGCCGCCGCUGCUCGCCCAGGAACUCCUUGAGCCGGUUGGUGGUGAAGGUGAGCGUCUGGCGGCGCAGCUUCAUCAGGUAGGCGUCCUGCAACCAUGGGUGGGCCAGGCAGUCCUGCAGGGAGGGCCGGCUCCUGCCAGGCAGAGCCAGGGAUGAUGAACCUGGAAGGAAGCUCUGGGAGCUGCCGGGGCUCUGUCCUCCCGCAGACCCAUGUCCCAGUCCUGGAUCCCACCCCUACAUGUGUGAUCUUGGGCAGCUCAAGAGCUCAGUUCCCCAGUCUCCGGAAUGGGGACAGUGAGUCUGCCUUGCACGGGGCUGCCUCAGGCUUUAAAUGGUGGGUAGUAUGACCAUUUAGUAGAAGCAGCAGACUUCUUCCUAGGAGCAGGGGAGGAGCUGGGAGAUCUCUGGCACAGGCCAGGCCAGGGGCAGGUAACACUGGGGGAUAGCAGGUGUGGGGCUCACUCACCAGGGAUGUACAGAGAGAACCUUUCGCAAGAAGAGGGUGGCGCUCUGGGAUGUAUUGGGGUACAGCUGGAAGGCAUCAAAGCGGCCCCCCACAAUCCGAGCCUCCGUUUCCUGGGGGUCUGGCUCAUAGAACGGGGAGCGUCCACUGAGCCUGUUGGGGAAGAUAGCUUGAUUGACGUAUGCAGACCGGAGGCCAACACCCAGACCCAGAAGGACAUUAGUGUCAGGUGCACAGUGCUCAGGGCCAUGCUACUGUGCACCUGAGUGUGAGUGUGCAGUGUGGAUGUGUGUACAGGGGAGGUGGGGCACGGGGGAGAGGGUGUUGGCAGAAGGUGAGUCCGGGAGCUCACUGUAUGGGCAGAGAGGGCUGCGGUGGGGUAGGGGACACUCACAUAAUGUAAGUGAGCACACCCGCUCCCCAGAUGUCCGUGGCAGAGCCGAUGGGUUCUCCCUUCACCAUCUCCGGAGCUGACAGGAGACAGAGGCCAAGCUGACCCAGCUUCCUGGUGGCAGGGAAGUGGGGGCGGGGGAGGUCCCUGGGUGCUUGAGCAGCAGGACAAUGUCCUGGUCACCAGACCAUGGGAAUGUCCAGAGUGGCAGGCCCUGAAGGCCAGUAGGCAGGACAGAGGUGGUGGCAUACCCCAAGAGACAUAUGGGUCACCUGAGGAAUUAACCCAGGCACAAAAUGGCGGGGUCCCCAGAACUCCAGAGGGGCUGAGAAGCAGGGUGACAAGCUCCCUUGGAUCGGCUCCAAGGUAUGGCUCCCAUUCACAAAGAGUGUGGCUGACACCAAGAUUAAAAGCCUUCAAAAUCAGCCUGGCUGGCUCUAAUCCCAGACCUGCCCCUUCUAGCUAUGGGACCCUGGGCGAUUUACUAAACCUGCCUGGCUCUCCACAGCCUCAUCCGUAAAGUGUGGCCUGUAGAACCACACCAAGGAAGAGAGAUCAUGAACGUCAAGCAUUUAGCAGGGUGCUCGAUGGUAGCUGGUUCUCCUUAUUUAAAUAAAAUAAUAAUUGAUUCUCCUGUCUUUUUGGCUGUAGUGAAUCCUGCCUCUAGCAUUUAUAAUUGUCUGAUUGCACAAAUCCCUAACAUCAGUACCCCUCAGUUUCCUCAUCUGUAAAAGGGGGCUAAUAUUAUGCCACACUCCAGGGUUAUUGUAAAGAUCAAUCCACAUACUUCGUUCAUUGCUUGAAUACAGUAAUCACUCAAUAAGUGGCACAUAUGUAAGUGAAGUGGGGUGAGCCCUGGCUGCUGCCUCUCUGGCAGGGCCCUGUCCCCACCCUGGCUGGCAGCUGGUCCCCUCACCCAUGAACUCCAGCGUGCCCGUGCGGUGGCCAAGGGGCCUAAGGGCCUGGGGGUUGUAGGGCUGGGCACUGCCAAAGUCCACAAUCUUGAGGGCAUUGUCAGGGGCCAGCAGCAGGUUGUCUGGCUUGAUGUCUAGGUGGAGCACGUGGUGGCCGUGGAGGUAGUCCAGGCCUUGUAGCAGCUGCACCAUGUAAGUGGCCACGUCAUCCUCAGAAUACCGGAACCUGGGAGGGCAGGGAUGGAGCAGAUGAUACCCGGCCCAGCCUCCCCUACCUCUUCCUCCCUACUCCCCUAGAAUUCCCAGCUACCUGUCACUGAGCCCACAGAGGAGUUCCCGGUUGCCACAGCUCUCAGCAAUGAGCACGAGGUACCGAGGGGUGAUGUAGGCCUCGUGCAGGGACAUGAUCCGCUCGUGGUGCAGGGUCCGCAGCACCUCGUACUCCUGCAGGACCCGCCGCUUGCCCUCGGCAGCAUAGGGCACGAUCUUGGCCACGAACGUUCGCCCCGUGGCAUUCUCCCGGCACGCUCGCACAACACCAAAGCGGCCCCUGUGUGUCGGGGGGAGGGACACCACCGGCUCAGAGGAGAGGAGGGGGACACUUCCAUAGUGAGGGCUAACGGAGGAGAGCAGGGACCCCUAGGGGCAAGAAUGCAGUGGUUCCAGUGUGGGCUCCAGAGUUCAAUCCUAGAAACCAGGGUUCGAGUCCCACCUUCGCCACUCACUGGCUCUGUACCUUAGGUAAAUCCCAUAGCUUCUCUAACCUCAGCUUUGCCACCUGUGAAAUGGGUGAUGCUAAUAGCGCAGUGUCUCUCAGAGUUGUGAAGAUUUGAUGAGAUCAUAUGGCUAAAGCACGCAGUGCAGUGUCUGGCACAUUUGAACGCAAUCAUUCUAAUAACCCAGGUCUCAGCACCUCCCCCCACCCCAGCCAGGACAGUCUGGUCUUCUCUCCGAAGCCAUGUGCUCCAGACAUUUGGCCCACUCCCCUCUGUCCUCUUCCCUUCCCCAGCCCUGCUUGCCUGGCUUUCUCCUCCAGGAAGGUGUAGGGUUUCUGAGGGGGACCCUGUCGAAGAGUGGUACCCUCAGGCCUGGGAGAGCUUCGGGGACUGCUCCCAGGGGAGCUGACCACCUCCUUGGCCGGGCUGAGGCUCUGCACAGUCACCUUGGUAGGCUCAGGAGGGGGCUCAGGGGCUGGGGGCUCAGGGGCUGGUGGUGCAGACACAAAGGAAGUCACCACAUACACAGGAGUAGAGGAAGACACUGGUUUAACCCCUUGAGGAGUGGAGGCUGGGAUCGGGGUCCCAGUGUCAAGGACGAAAGGCUUGGGCUCACUUGGGGUGACGUGGGUACUGGGUAGGGUGGGCUCCGCUGGCCGGGCAGCCUGCAGGCCCCUGUGUCUUCGUGGAGGGGUUUGGGGUGGUGGACCCACAGCCUUGAGCGAGGACAAGGCCUGGCUAGGAGGUGUGGGGGGAGAUGAGGGGCUGACAGUGACUGACGGGGGUGUGGGGGCAGCAGGAGCUAGGGGUGGGGCCAGUGAGGUAGGAGAGUCAGGAGGCCGGGCCCUGGCUGGCCUUGAGGUGACAGGGGCCUCUUGGUGGGCAGCAGAUGGCACAGCUGAAGAAUCUAAGAGAGAGAGAAAAUCAUCACCGUGGUGCCUUGGGGCAAGGCCAUGGUGCUCCACAAGAACCCUAGGCUCAGAGCCCCCUUCCUCCUCCCACCCCAUACCAUUGCACUGACCUUGAGUACCCCUGACAAAGACCUUCUCAGAAGAGUUGCUGAAGGGCCCCUGCCCAGCACGGUUGGCACAGGCCACACGGAACCUCACAGUCACGCCAACUGGCAGGUGGGUCACGUUGUAGUAACAGUCGGGGAUGCCUGAGCUCACAGGGUGCCACACAGACUCCCCUAUAGGCAGUAUGGGGGAGGGGCUGAGGUCACAGAAGCGGUGGCCCCAGCUCCCACGGUGCUAUCUGUGG